This 253-nucleotide ribosomal RNA is filed under the name uncultured bacterium. RNAcentral's name for it is "partial 16S ribosomal RNA". It matches the Rfam family "Bacterial small subunit ribosomal RNA", at positions 524 to 776 of the family's 1533-position model. The record is from RNAcentral.
UACGUAGGUGGCAAGCGUUGUCCGGAUUUAUUGGGUUUAAAGGGUGCGUAGGCGGUUCCUUAAGUCAGGGGUGAAAUCCUGGAGCUCAACUCCAGAACUGCCUUUGAUACUGAGGAUCUUGAGUAUGGGAGAGGUGAGUGGAACUGCGAGUGUAGAGGUGAAAUUCGUAGAUAUUCGCAAGAACACCAGUGGCGAAGGCGGCUCACUGGCCCAUUACUGACGCUGAGGCACGAAAGCGUGGGGAGCAAACAGG